Molecule: transfer RNA, 72 nt
Filed under: Microcaldota archaeon
Lineage: Archaea; Nanobdellati; Microcaldota
Description: tRNA-Phe
Rfam family: tRNA
About the family: Transfer RNA (tRNA) molecules are approximately 80 nucleotides in length. Their secondary structure includes four short double-helical elements and three loops (D, anti-codon, and T loops). Further hydrogen bonds mediate the characteristic L-shaped molecular structure. tRNAs have two regions of fundamental functional importance: the anti-codon, which is responsible for specific mRNA codon recognition, and the 3' end, to which the tRNAs corresponding amino acid is attached (by aminoacyl-tRNA synthetases). tRNAs cope with the degeneracy of the genetic code in two manners: having more than one tRNA (with a specific anti-codon) for a particular amino acid; and 'wobble' base-pairing, i.e. permitting non-standard base-pairing at the 3rd anti-codon position.
Source: RNAcentral
GCCGCAAUAGCUCAGUGGGAGAGCGGUCCGCUGAAGACGGACAGGCCGCAGGUUCAAAUCCUGCUUGCGGCA